GAGCGACCACCGUUAUCGGUGCAAAACGUACAGUUGCCAAUGACAACCGUGCUCCGGUGGCCGUCGCUGCGUAAUGCAGUUGACCUAAACCGAUUCUAAGUCCUGGCGCUUAGCCGCGUCAGGCGGGGUUCGCAGGCACCUGGCAACAGAAGCCUGCACU
RNAcentral lists this transfer-messenger RNA (160 nucleotides) under Paracoccaceae bacterium. Its description in RNAcentral is "Rhodobacteraceae bacterium (activated sludge metagenome) partial transfer-messenger RNA". It matches the Rfam family "Alphaproteobacteria transfer-messenger RNA", at positions 198 to 355 of the family's 355-position model. Rfam says of the family: Bacterial tmRNA, also known as 10Sa RNA or SsrA, is named for its dual tRNA and mRNA-like properties. Its role is to liberate the mRNA from a stalled ribosome. Lineage: Bacteria; Pseudomonadati; Pseudomonadota; Alphaproteobacteria; Rhodobacterales; Paracoccaceae. The record is from RNAcentral.